This 72-nucleotide transfer RNA is filed under the name bacterium. Its description in RNAcentral is "tRNA-Lys". It matches the Rfam family "tRNA". Rfam says of the family: Transfer RNA (tRNA) molecules are approximately 80 nucleotides in length. Their secondary structure includes four short double-helical elements and three loops (D, anti-codon, and T loops). The record is from RNAcentral.
GGGCUGGUAGCUCAGCGGUAGAGCAGUUGACUCUUAAUCAAUUGGUCCUGGGUUCAAAUCCCAGUCAGCCCA